AGGACUUGCAGAUAUAGUUACUGUUGCAUAUGGCGCAGUAUUGUCAACCUUGGAAUCAUGUUAAUGGAAAUACAGAAUAGAGUAUACAUUGAUUCAGUAUACAGACAGAUAAAGAGAAAACAGUAUCAAAUGUGCAAGCUCCUCAAAAUUUUGAUGGGUGGAAUUCAGCAUUAUGAAUCCGAAUCCGUGUGUUUGUGCAAAUAUUAUCUCCUGGUUGUCUAUGAUUAA
Vicia faba (fava bean) is the source of this 228-nucleotide non-coding RNA. The record is from the annotation of a GenBank genome assembly. Lineage: Eukaryota; Viridiplantae; Streptophyta; Magnoliopsida; Fabales; Fabaceae.